Molecule: ribosomal RNA, 282 nt
Filed under: uncultured Oomycota
Lineage: Eukaryota; Oomycota
Description: uncultured Oomycetes partial 28S ribosomal RNA
Rfam family: Eukaryotic large subunit ribosomal RNA
Source: RNAcentral
GUGAAAGACCGAUAGCGAACAAGUACCGUGAGGGAAAGAUGAAAAGAACUUUGAAAAGAGAGUUAAAGAGUACCUGAAACUGUUGAAAGGGAACCGUAUCGUUUCCAGUGUUGUAUCCUGUGCAUAUUUCAUCAAUGGAGAAAUUUGUUGGUGCCCUGUGCAUAGGUGUGACGUCAGAGUCAGUUUGUAUGCUGCGGGAGAUGGUUAGUAAGGAGGUGCGUCACUUCGGUGAAAGNUUAUACCUUGCUAUCUAGUAGCCGUGGUUGAGACUGAGGUGCCUAC